Long non-coding RNA from Pipra filicauda (Wire-tailed manakin), 100 nucleotides. RefSeq lists it as uncharacterized. NCBI's taxonomy places the organism in Eukaryota, Metazoa, Chordata, Aves, Passeriformes, Pipridae. The transcript is spliced from 3 exons. The record is from RefSeq and is a predicted model, not a curated record.
CCCUGGGGAAAAGAUGCCAGGAGAGCUGAACCUUAGCAGGGCAUCUUAUGCUGUGCUUGGAAACUGGCAGCAGACCUUCCUACAGAUGACAGAACUGGAC